This 325-nucleotide ribosomal RNA is filed under the name uncultured eukaryote. Its description in RNAcentral is "partial 18S ribosomal RNA". It matches the Rfam family "Eukaryotic small subunit ribosomal RNA", at positions 1470 to 1796 of the family's 1831-position model. The record is from RNAcentral.
CCCUUAGAUGUCCUGGGCCGCACGCGCGCUACACUGAGUGUCUGAGAUACGAGUCUGCCUGGUCCGGCAAGGUCUAGGUAAUCGCUAAAAGACACAUCAUGCUUGGGAUAGAUUAUUGCAAAUAUUAAUCUUGAACGAGGAAUUCCUAGUAAGCGCAAGUCAACAGCUUGCGUUGAUUACGUCCCUGCCCUUUGUACACACCGCCCGUCGCUCCUACCGAUUGGAUGAUCCGGUGAGCUAUUCGGACUUUCGCAUUGUCGAUUUUCGGCUUUACGAGGGAAAGUCUCGCGAACCUUAUCAUCUAGAGGAAGGAGAAGUCGUAACA